GGUAGCCGGCCUGAGAGGGCGACCGGCCACACUGGGACUGAGACACGGCCCAAACUCCUACGGGAGGCAGCAGUGGGGAAUCUUGCGCAAUGGGCGAAAGCCUGACGCGGCGACGCCGCGUGAGGGAUGACGGCCUUCGGGUUGUAAACCUCUUUCAGCUCCGACGAAGCGAAAGUGACGGUAGGAGCAGAAGAAGCACCGGCCAACUACGUGCCAGCAGCCGCGGUAAUACGUAGGGUGCAACCGUUGUCCGGAAUUAUUGGGCGUAAAGAGCUCGUAGGCGGUUUGUCGCGUCGGCUGUGAAAACUCGGGGCUCAACUCUGAGCUUGCGGUCGAUACGGGCGGACUUGAGUUCGGCAGGGGAGACUGGAAUUCCUGGUGUAGCGGUGAAAUGCGCAGAUAUCAGGAGGAACACCGGUGGCGAAGGCGGGUCUCUGGGCCGAAACUGACGCUGAGGAGCGAAAGCGUGGGGAGCGAACAGGAUUAGAUACCCUGGUAGUCCACGCCGUAAACGUUGGGCGCUAGGUGUGGGGGCCAUUCCACGGUCUCCGUGCCGCAGCUAACGCAUUAAGCGCCCCGCCUGGGGAGUACGGCCGCAAGGCUAAAACUCAAAGGAAUUGACGGGGGCCCGCACAUGCGGCGGAGCAUGUUGCUUAAUUCGAUGCAACGCGAAGAACCUUACCUAGGCUUGACAUGCACGGAAAUCUCGCAGAGAUGCGGGGUCCGUAAGGGCCGUGCACAGGUGGUGCAUGGUUGUCGUCAGCUCGUGUCGUGAGAUGUUGGGUUAAGUCCCGCAACGAGCGCAACCCUCGUUCCAUGUUGCCAGCACGUGAUGGUGGGGACUCAUGGGAGACUGCCGGGGUCAACUCGGAGGAAGGUGGGGAUGACGUCAAAUCAUCAUGCCCCUUAUGUCUAGGGCUGCAAACAUGCUACAAUGGCCGGUACAAAGGGCUGCGAUACCGUGAGGUGGAGCGAAUCCCAAAAAGCCGGUCUCAGUUCGGAUUGGGGUCUGCAACUCGACCCCAUGAAGUUGGAGUCGCUAGUAAUCGCAGAUCAG
This 1057-nucleotide ribosomal RNA is filed under the name uncultured Geodermatophilus sp. RNAcentral describes it as "bacterial SSU rRNA". It matches the Rfam family "Bacterial small subunit ribosomal RNA", at positions 282 to 1352 of the family's 1533-position model. The record is from RNAcentral. Lineage: Bacteria; Bacillati; Actinomycetota; Actinomycetes; Geodermatophilales; Geodermatophilaceae.